AUCACUUAUAAAUCUUCUAUAAAUUAUCUUUAAUUUCUCUUUUCCACUUUUCUGUUUCAGCCUCCUGGUAUUUUUAAGGAAAUGUAAGACUGUGAAUCAGGUACUGAUGGUUUUGACUUCAUUAUGAUCAGCAUCUUUGGCUUCCAUCAGAGUAGACACUGAACGUUUUCAUCCAACCGGAUGAUGAGUGCAUUAGAACUACAUAAGAGAUGAAAUCCUUUCUCCCUGGGACAUAAAAAUAAUCCACAUCUUCACAACAACAGCUGUUCCUCUAUAGCCUCCCAUGAGACCGGAACCAUCACAACUGCGCUGCUGCUUAUGAUUUGCUUCGUUGUAUUUAAUAUACUCUUCACUCUCAACUCAGGGAAAAGGACCCUGACAGGACACCCUCCUGUCGGAGCUAACAGAUGUGCACCUUUGAGAAUGAUCAUUGAGAAGGGAAGCCAUGUGACUUCAUCCUCCGUGGCUCUGGUGGUCUCUUCGACAUCUGUGAGAUACUCACUAAAAGCUGGUUGCGCUUUGAGAUCUGGGCGCCUGCUGGAACCUGGAGCCACAAGUCUUCAUGCUAAAGAACUCCUGUCUUGGUGGAGGAAUAUAUAUGAUUGUAAGACCAGGCACCUGUGGCUCACACCUGUAAUCCCAGCACUUUGGAAGGCUGAGGCGGGAGAUCACCUGAGGUCAAGAGUUCGAGACCAGCCUAGCCGACAGGGUGAAACCUCAUCUCUACUAAAAAUACAAAAAAUUAGCUGGGUGUGGUGGUAUGUACCUGUAAUCCCAGCUACCCAAGAGGCUGAGGCAGAAGAAUCACUUGAACCCCGGGGACACAGGUUACAUAUGUCUUCCUAUGAGGGAAAUAAAAUAGCAGGAAGUUUUCCUCUUUGCCUGUGAGGGGAUUUAUGAAAAGCCUUCUAAUCUACAAGUGUUCUUCUGCAAAACUAAAAUACAUUAUGAAGUCAAACAGGUAAAUUAACAACAAAACCAAACUUAUCUCAACAGUCUUGUUUCCAAAGUAAAAUCUAUUAAGAACAAGUAAUAUAUAAGCACAAGAAAUUACAAGAAAUG
This 1062-nucleotide long non-coding RNA is filed under the name Pan troglodytes (chimpanzee). RNAcentral describes it as "lncRNA (ENSPTRG00000053541.1)". The record is from RNAcentral. Lineage: Eukaryota; Metazoa; Chordata; Mammalia; Primates; Hominidae.